Molecule: ribosomal RNA, 484 nt
Filed under: uncultured bacterium
Lineage: Bacteria
Description: partial 16S ribosomal RNA
Rfam family: Bacterial small subunit ribosomal RNA
Source: RNAcentral
AUUGAACGCUGGCGGCAGGCCUAACACAUGCAAGUCGAGCGGAUGAAGGGAGCUUGCUCCUGGAUUCAGCGGCGGACGGGUGAGUAAUGCCUAGGAAUCUGCCUGGUAGUGGGGGAUAACGUCCGGAAACGGGCGCUAAUACCGCAUACGUCCUGAGGGAGAAAGUGGGGGAUCUUCGGACCUCACGCUAUCAGAUGAGCCUAGGUCGGAUUAGCUAGUUGGUGGGGUAAAGGCCUACCAAGGCGACGAUCCGUAACUGGUCUGAGAGGAUGAUCAGUCACACUGGAACUGAGACGCGGUCCAGACUCCUACGGGAGGCAGCAGUGGGGAAUAUUGGACAGUGGGCGAAAGCCUGAUCCAGCCAUGCCGCGUGUGUGAAGAAGGUCUUCGGAUUGUAAAGCACUUUAAGUUGGGAGGAAGGGCAGUAAGUUGUGACCUUGCUGUUUUGACGUUACCGGCAGAAUAAGCACCGGCUAACUUCGUG